GUGAAUCAUCAAAUCUUUGAACGCAAAUUGCACUCUCCGGUUUUCCGGGAGAGUAUGCCUGUUUAGGAUUCAUCCUAAAAAAAAUCGACAGUUUUGCUGUUUUAUUUUGACUUUCGUCGGGGAUGGGUUAGCUUAAAUCUCGGUUUAAGCGACUUAAAAAUUGUUUUUGCAUUUUAAGAAUUUUUGGAAUGUUUUGUCUUGUGCUUUAAGGUAAU
RNAcentral lists this unclassified non-coding RNA (215 nucleotides) under Glomeraceae sp. RNAcentral's name for it is "partial contains 5.8S ribosomal RNA and internal transcribed spacer 2". The stretch from base 1 to 72 matches the Rfam family "5.8S ribosomal RNA", at positions 84 to 154 of the family's 154-position model. The record is from RNAcentral. Lineage: Eukaryota; Fungi; Glomeromycota; Glomeromycetes; Glomerales; Glomeraceae.